This 88-nucleotide transfer RNA is filed under the name Fimbriimonas sp. RNAcentral describes it as "tRNA-Ser". It matches the Rfam family "tRNA". Rfam says of the family: Transfer RNA (tRNA) molecules are approximately 80 nucleotides in length. Their secondary structure includes four short double-helical elements and three loops (D, anti-codon, and T loops). The record is from RNAcentral. Lineage: Bacteria; Bacillati; Armatimonadota; Fimbriimonadia; Fimbriimonadales; Fimbriimonadaceae.
GGAGAGAUGGCAGAGUGGUCUAUUGCGGCGGUCUUGAAAACCGCUGGGCAGCGAUGUCCCAGGAGUUCGAAUCUCCUUCUCUCCUCCA